GACCUGACUGCUAUCGGAUUGAUACUAAGCCAUGCGAGUCUUUGCAGUAAUGCAAGGCAGACGGCUCAGUAACACGUAGUCAACUUACCCUAUGGACGAGGAUAAUCUCGGGAAACUGAGCAUAAUACUCGAUAGAUCAUAAUGCCUGGAAUGGUUUAUGGUUAAAAUGAUUCGUCGCCAUAGGAUGGGACUGCGGCCUAUCAGCUUGUUGGUGAGGUAAUGGCCACCAAGGCGAUUACAGGUACGGGCUCUGAGGGGAGAAGCCCGGAGAUGGGUACUGAGACAAGGACCCAGGCCCUAUGGGGCGCAGCAGGCGAGAAAACUUUGCAAUGUGCGAAAGCACGACAAGGUUAAUCCGAGUGAUUUCUGCUAAAGAAAUCUUUUGCAAGUCAUAAAACCACUAGUGAAUAAGGGGUGGGCAAGUUCUGGUGUCAGCCGCCGCGGUAAAACCAGCACCUCAAGUGGUCAGGAUGAUUAUUGGGCCUAAAGCAUCCGUAGCCGGCUCUGUAAGUUUUCGGUUAAAUCCACGUGCUCAACACAUGGGCUGCCGAAAAUACUGCACAGCUAGGGAGUGGGAGAGGUAGACGGUACUCAAUAGGAAGGGGUAAAAUCCUUUGAUCUAUUGAUGACCACCUGUGGCGAAGGCGGUCUACCAGAACACGUUCGACGGUGAGGGAUGAAAGCUGGGGGAGCAAACCGGAUUAGAUACCCGGGUAGUCCCAGCUGUAAACGAUGCAGACUCGAUGAUGCAUUGGCAUAUAGCCAGUGCAGUGUCGCAGGGAAGCCGUUAAGUCUGCCGCCUGGGAAGUACGUACGCAAGUAUGAAACUUAAAGGAAUUGGCGGGGGAGCACCACAAGGGGUGAAGCCUGCGGUUCAAUUGGAUUCAACGC
This 891-nucleotide ribosomal RNA is filed under the name uncultured marine group I thaumarchaeote. RNAcentral's name for it is "bacterial SSU rRNA". It matches the Rfam family "Archaeal small subunit ribosomal RNA", at positions 20 to 918 of the family's 1478-position model. Lineage: Archaea; Thermoproteati; Nitrososphaerota. The record is from RNAcentral.